Molecule: ribosomal RNA, 720 nt
Filed under: uncultured bacterium
Lineage: Bacteria
Description: bacterial SSU rRNA
Rfam family: Bacterial small subunit ribosomal RNA
Source: RNAcentral
AGGCCUUCGGGUCGUAAAGCUCUGUUGUCAGGGAAGAACAAGUAUCGGAGUAACUGCCGGUACCUUGACGGUACCUGACCAGAAAGCCACGGCUAACUACGUGCCAGCAGCCGCGGUAAUACGUAGGUGGCAAGCGUUGUCCGGAAUUAUUGGGCGUAAAGCGCGCGCAGGCGGUCCUUUAAGUCUGAUGUGAAAGCCCACGGCUCAACCGUGGAGGGUCAUUGGAAACUGGGGGACUUGAGUGCAGAAGAGGAGAGCGGAAUUCCACGUGUAGCGGUGAAAUGCGUAGAGAUGUGGAGGAACACCAGUGGCGAAGGCGGCUCUCUGGUCUGUAACUGACGCUGAGGCGCGAAAGCGUGGGGAGCGAACAGGAUUAGAUACCCUGGUAGUCCACGCCGUAAACGAUGAGUGCUAAGUGUUAGAGGGUUUCCGCCCUUUAGUGCUGCAGCAAACGCAUUAAGCACUCCGCCUGGGGAGUACGGCCGCAAGGCUGAAACUCAAAGGAAUUGACGGGGGCCCGCACAAGCGGUGGAGCAUGUGGUUUAAUUCGAAGCAACGCGAAGAACCUUACCAGGUCUUGACAUCCUCUGACAACCCUAGAGAUAGGGCGUUCCCCUUCGGGGGACAGAGUGACAGGUGGUGCAUGGUUGUCGUCAGCUCGUGUCGUGAGAUGUUGGGUUAAGUCCCGCAACGAGCGCAACCCUUGAUCUUAGUUGCCAU